CUGCCAUCAAAAUCGCGACCAAUUUUGUUAUAGAUGGCUUUGGCAAUAGUCGUUUUACCAACGCCCCCCAUGCCUUUUAUCCCAAGUAUCAGAACAUCUUUUGUCUUUUGAAUGUUUGAUUCUUCAAUCAACUUUUGCACACGAGGUUCUACUCCCACUGGAUGUGCUGCAACGAACAACUCUGUCUUAUCUAAUAAACGAGUAACGUGUUCAACAAUUCUUUUGAUAUCUUCACUUUCAUUCCUAUAAAAUAUAAAGAGCAGAGAUAAGCAGCAAAGUCAGUCAUUAUUAAAAGGAAAUAUUAUUAGAGUUGUUAAUAGUUGGGAUUUAAGUUAGUAAUAGUAGAUGGAUAUUUAAGAGAUUAGUUGGUAAUAUCCAUAUAAAUAAGAUGGCUCUUGUAUUAUGUAACAACAACUUACACAACAACUUCACACAUAAUAUUAUCUUUUUAUUCUACUAUCUCACUCCUGCCUCACUCUCAAAGUAGUCUUAUUACUCCUUUUCGACAUGACCAGAAACGCUGGUCCAAGACACAAGCGUCUUCCUUCUUCCUCUGCGUCACCGCACACCGCUCACAUCUUCCCUAACCAGAGCAGAAGUCCUGUUCCUCCUUUUCGUCAUGAGAGGCCCACGCUGCACCUCUCUCUUCCUUUGUCUUCCUCUGCGUCUGCGUCACACACCUCUUCUUCUGCGUUAUGACACUGCACGCCUCUUCCUCAACCGUCUCAUCGAAACUUAUCAAAGUUGGAGAUUAUUGACUAGUUUGCGGGGGCAUAUUAAAAUAUUAUUAGAGUUGUUAGUAGUUAGAAAUUAAGUUAGUAAUGGCUAGUAGUUACUAGUUAGCAUAUCAAUAUUUAUGAGAUUAAUUAAUAAUAUCCUUGUAAAUAAGAUGGCUCUUGUACCAUGUAACAACAACUUCAAACAUAAUAUUAUCUUCUUAUUCUACAAAAAUUUAACAGUUAUCACAUUAGCACAAGAUGAAAUAAUCGAUUACAAAACUCUAAACUAGCUACCAAAUAAUGUAUGUGUGUAUGAGACUUUUAAAUACAAAUACCUGGAGUUGAUCACAGUCGUCCCUGAAAAGCUACUAACUUCACGAAGAUCUGUUCUCCAACUUUGCACCUUAUCUUCUUCAACUGAUCUUCGACUUAUAAGACUUUCAAAAGCUUUCCCAAAGUCACUCUCUUUCUUUUGAUAACGUACAUCUGAGGGAUCUACUUCAUAGAAUAUAGGGUAAACCACUUGACCUUUUGUUCUAUGGCAUACCAUGAUAUUCUCAAGCUCUUGCAGGCACCAUUUUGAAUCAGCAUAGUGGGUUGAGAAAACAACGACAGAACAUGCAGACAAUCCAAUUGCUUUUAACAAUGCAAUUGAAAUCCGUUCUCCCCUUUGAAGUCCAUCAACAUCAUCAUCAUCCUUGAAAGCAGCAAUUCCAGCAUUUUGGAGAGAUGUAUGGAGAUGUGAUGUAAACGUUGUACGAGUGUCCUUGCCUCGAAAACUCACGAAAACAUCGUAAAUCCUUCGCUGCAAAAUAAUUAUAAUAAGAAAAAGGUUAAAAUCAUAUAUUGGAUAAUAAGAAAACAUAGUAAUGUAUACCAAGGAAUGCUAGAGGGUCAUCACAUUAGUUAGCCCUUAAUGUUUAAAAAUAUGGACUAAAGUAUGUUGUUGGAUUAAUAGACUAAAGGAUUUGGAUUAAUGGCUAAAAGUGAUGCUAAAACCAAUAAAUUAUGAUCACUGUCUAGCAUUUCUUAUAUAUACCGGAGCAUCAGUUUGUGAUUGCUCUCGAACGAUAUUUCUUCCCAUCUCUCGCAGCAAAGGAUGCAUUUGAACUCUGUCUUUCUCAUCAAAUUUUAUAAAAUUCCGCUCUUCAAGGAAACUAAUUCCAUGUUCUCUAAUUCCAAAGCCAUAAUUUAGUGUUUUCAGUACCUCCUCCCUUUCCAUGCCAAUACAAAAGCUAGCUAUGUCAAGAAAUAUUUCUUUCUGUUUGUCAUCAUCUAAGGCAUCAAAGCUUAGUCUCAAAACAUCUAAUAUAUCCUUAGGGGAAGACCCUUUCAGUCGACCUAAUACAUUCUCCCACUCGUCUUUCAUCUUUCCAAACAAUUGACUACCACUUAGUUUAAGGGUCAAUGGCAAUCCCCCACAAUAUUUAACUACAUCAUCUGCAAGUCUAGCAAACUCUGUUAAAGGAGUUGCUUUCCCAAAUGCAUUCCAACAAAAAAGUUCAAGAGCUUCAUCGUAAUUCAUUUCUGUCAUUUGGUACACAUAAUCAACUCCAAUCAUAUGAAGCAGAUUUCUAUCUCUUGUUGUGAUGAUUAUUAUACUCCCUGCACCAAACCAUUCUCGACUACCGCACAAGGCAUUCAACUGGUCUAUAUUAUUUACAUCAUCAAGUACAAGAAAUACGCUUUCCAGGCGAAGUUUUUCCCUUAAUAAAGCUACUCCUGAUGCGAUGUUUUGUAUGUUUAUCUGUGCUUUGCAAAUACCAUUCAAUAACUGUUCUUGCAGAAAAACCUGUUGGUUAUUCUCCCACAUCUCCUGAAUGUUUGGGAGGAACAUUGGCCUAUCAAAAUCGUGACGAAUUUGAUUAUAAACACUUUUCGCAAUAGUUGUUUUACCCACUCCUCCCAUCCCCCAUAUCCCCAUUAACACGACAUCUUCUGGUUUAUGCGAAUGUAACUGUUGAAUCACAUCUUCCGUGCGAGAUUGCACUGCCACUGGAUGCCUUGCGAUGAACAAGUCUUCCGAAGCAAGUAGAGUAGUUAUAUGUUCAACAAUCUCUCCGAUAAUUUCAACUUCAUUACUGCAAAAAUCAACCAACGAUUUACGUAAGUAACGAUUGUAACUUUUUCCAAUGAAUUCAACUAAACUAAUAAAACUAAUGUAUUUGUGGAUAAAUAUAUAAAUUAUUUAAUUUAUUUUUAAUGUGUAUUUUAUAUUUGAAUAUCUAUUUUUAUACUUGUAAUUAAUUUAGUAGCUGAUUUUUUGUGAUAUAAUUGUCUAUUUUGGAACAUUUCCAAAAUAAAAAAUAUAAAAAGAAAGAAAAAAAAAUGCAUAUUUCAUUGUUUUGCUUCCUAUUUUGAAAAUUGAAACAAAACAAGCAGAAUAGCAGAUAUGGAAUUACCUGUUUCUAGUGAUUAGAAAUCCAGGAAGUUUAGCAGCUUCAGUGAGCGCAGCCCUCCAUGCGUGGACUAUCUCAUUCUCAUAUGAGAAUCUAUGACUUUGAAAAGCUUCUUCAAAAGGACCACUCUGGUGGCGUACAUCUUCGGGAUCAACAUUGUAGAAUACCGGAAUGACAGUUUGACCUAUAGUGCUUCUACACUCCAUUAUUUUCAUCAACUCGUCCAGACACCAUCUAGAACCAGCAUAACUUUCUGUCAAAAUAACAACAAAAAGUCUAGAAGCUUCGAUUGCUUGAAUCAGUGUGUAUGUCAUCUGGUCUCCUCUCCCAAGCACCACCUCAUCGUCAAUGAAAACAUAAAUCCCAGCUCUCCUCAAAGCGUCAUAGAGAUGUGAGGUGAAUCCGUGGCGAGUGUCUUGGCCUCGGAAACUGAAAAACACAUCGUACUUCCAUGAUGGAUCGGGGAUUCUUUCUGCUGAUUGGUAGUAAGACAUGGGCGAUGAUGGAUUAGAAUGAAGAGCAAAGGGAUUCGUUGGGUAACUGGUGAACAAACUUUAUAUGAUUAUAAAGUCAACGCACAAAUCAGAUCACAGCAUUUGCAUAUGCAGCUCUAUCUACAGAUACUGCUUAACUUUUUGUUCAUAUGUUGGAGAUUAGAGAUUAGUACAUGUACAGUAGUAACAAACAAUAAAGAUUAGAUUAUUUUUAGCGGAGCUUGAAACAAAAUUUUGGGGAGCCAGGUAGAAGAUAAUUGUCAAAAUGCUUCUAAUAUAGACCCAUUUAAGAUUAGUUCGUCAAACCUCAUCUUUCUGAUUUGAACUUUUGGAGGUUGUAUCUCACUUUUUUCGUGAUUCAUUAAAGUAGAAGAACUGUCUACAGAUGUUGAUAUUGUAAAAGUUAUAUCUUCUCCUUCUUCAAUAUUAGCAUUCUUCUUAAAAAAUGCAUCAAUUCUUUGAUUUUUCAUGAUUAUUUUAUAUAAAAAUUUGAAUAUAUAUCCCGUAAAAUAUUUAAAAAAGAAGUUAGAAUGACAAAUAUUAAAAUUUAUAAUAUUUAUUAAAUUUUUUUUAUCAAUUUAUACAAAUACAAUAAUAUCAAUACUUAUUGAAUAUUCUAAUAUUUUUUAAAUAAACAGUAAAAUGUAAAAUGUAAAAUAAUAUUAAAUUACAUAAAUAAAAAAUACCUAAUUUUUUAUAUUUGAACUCAAAGGUAGAGAAAGUGUUGCUUAUUAAAUAGAGAGCUGCGAAAUACGAAUACACUCAGUUAAGUCCAAAUUCAACAUAUUUUGAAUAUUUAAAACUAAAAAUUAUUGUGGAUUACUACGCUCCCAGGACGACACCAUUCACCACUACCACACAAAGCAUUGAGUUGGUCCAAAUCAGUCACAUCGUCAAGCACAAUGAGUACCCUUUUAGCACCAAGCCUUUCCUUUAACAUUUGCAUCCCUGAAUCAAUGUUACGUAUGUGUAUCCUUGUUGCAAUGAAUAUAUCCUCAAGAAGUUGCUGUUGCAAGAGAACCUUUCCAUUAUCUUGCUGCCAUGUUUCUCUAAUGUUAAGGAGGAAGCUCCUGCCAUCAAAAUCGCGACCAAUUUUGUUAUAGAUGGCUUUGGCAAUAGUCGUUUUACCAACGCCCCCCAUGCCUUUUAUCCCAAGUAUCAGAACAUCUUUUAUCUUUUGAAUGUUUGAUUCUUCAAUCAACUUUUGCACACGAGGUUCUACUCCCACUGGAUGUGCUGCAACGAACAACUCUGUCUUAUCUAAUAAACGAGUAACGUGUUCAACAAUUCUUUUGAUAUCUUC
This 4915-nucleotide long non-coding RNA is filed under the name Arachis ipaensis. Its description in RNAcentral is "long non-coding RNA (AIPA_LNC000390)". The record is from RNAcentral. Lineage: Eukaryota; Viridiplantae; Streptophyta; Magnoliopsida; Fabales; Fabaceae.